ACAGGAAGUAUGAUGAGAUGAUAAUUAACAAGGGUACUGUGUUUCUGUAGGGUGUUCACUGUCAGGUCCAGGUCAGUUGGAGCUGAGGCCUGCGUCUGGCCAGGCUGUCCUCUUGCCCUGCUCUUGUUCUGAUCCUCAGGCCACACCCAGCAGGCUGACCUGGACUGUGGGCAGUCGACUAGGUGUGAUAGAGAUGUGGUCUACCCUAUCAUCUGAAUGGAGUGAUGUCUACCGACACAGGGCUGUCUUCAGCAACAGCACUUCUGGAGACCUGUCUGUCCUCCUCUCCAACUUCACCAAGAGUGAUGAGGGGGUGUAUGUGUGCAAGAUCAUAACUCACAAUAAGACAGAACAAAUGCUCACCUUCCUGUCUGGUCAACAAGAUUCGGUUCCACCUGCAUACUCCCAUAUUGCAGUGCUUCUGUUAUUCACAUUUCCUCUUGCGGUAGGGUUUCACACCUACUACUCUGUGAGAACAAAGCAGAGAGGUGAUUCAGCAGAUUCCACAGAGGGACAUGAGAUUGCCAUGGAACUCACCACGUAUGAUGACGUAGACGUAUCUAAAGUAACCACGAUUCAUAACUUAUAACUCUCACAUCUCGAUAUGCGCAAUAUCUGUCUUGACAGUGUGUCGUGGUGGACCAGACUGAUUAGACUUUAUUUCUUUUAUUUGUAUUUUUAUAGUUUGUACACAAUCUUUACCCAGCUGCAAGGCACUUCAUCCUACUUGCCUCGGGGGGAAUGUCCCUGUACUUACUGUAAGUCGCUCUGGAUAAGAGCAUCUGCUAAAUGACUAAAUGUAAUGUAAAUGUAAGCUGUAGCAGUGGUUGGGCUACCCAGAGUGGCCCCUGUCAACAGUCUUCAUGUCCUCAAUUAAGCAUGGAGUAUGUGUUACUUGGAGGGUUGUCAAAGGAUCCUUCGUUUGAAUGCACCUUGGAGAAAUAAUGAAUGCCUACUAGAUAAAAUGUGUGUUUGCAUCGGAUGUGUUAAAAAUUGCUUCCAUAUGUGUAUUUAGACAGGGCUGCCAACUUUUCCAAAAACCUUGGCGUGAGAUUUGGUAGCCCCCCCCCGCCCCCCCUCCCCUCCGCGAGCUUUCGCGAGCUUCACAAGUUUACAUGGCUUUUGAUUGAUUUUGAUUUUGCAGGUUUUCCCCAGGGGCGUCGUUAGACCCUUUUUACUGGGGCACGUGCCCCAGUAUAAAUCUGCUGUGCCCCAGUAAAAUCUAAAGUUUGAGUUUCAACAAUUUACUUUAUCAGUCAGUGCAUUAAUUUAGAUUGAUAAUCCCGGAAAAAAUAAAUGCAGUAUCCCAAUCACGAUUGUAAAAUCAAAGCAGUUUAACCGAAAACACAAACCGAUGCCCGCAGAAAAUAUUACAAAAUUAAAGAAAGUUUCUAAAUGAUAGGCCUACCGAUCAUCGUAUUUUGACUAAAACAUAAAAACUAUUAACUAUUGAUGUCACUGCCAAAGCUGAUAUCAAACUUGCAUCCCUGAACUGUUGUACUAUAGUGGGUUAAGAAAGGGGAGUUUCUAUAGCCUAGUGCGCAGCAAGCACAAUGCAUAAAAAAGAAAAAAAAGGGAUAUGAAUAAAUCAAAUUUAUUUGAUUUGAUUGAAUAGGGGCCUGUGCCCCAGUAGAGUUUUAUGUCUAACAGCGCCUCUGGUUUUCCCACUUACAAAGCAUGUAGAAGUCUGUAAUUUUUUUUAUCAUAGGUACUCUUCAACUGUGAGUGACGGAAUCUAAAACAAAAAUCCAGAAAAUCACAUUGUAUGAUUUUUAAGUAAUUAAUUAGCAUUUUAUUGCAUAUGUCACUGUACGUGACAGUUGGCUACAUGCAUAAUGUCCAUUGUCCAGAUUUUGAGAAGUAGUCUUUAGGUUUCCUGUGCAUAGGAACAGGUGCCCUGAAUGACCUAGAUAAGGAAAGCAUAUAAAUAUGAUGUGUGUGUCAAAGUUAGGAGGACUUCGAGUGCUGCCGAAGCUACGCUCUUGUACUCUUGUAUUUUGUAACGGUCGUCACUUGUACUCUAUUUUUUACUUAGAUAUAUAAACUUAGAAGCUUACCUCAUUAAUUUGUAUUGUUUUAUUUUUACUUUUUAUAUAAUAAAUAUGUCAAAGACA
This is a long non-coding RNA of Osmerus eperlanus (European smelt), 2114 nucleotides long. RefSeq lists it as uncharacterized. NCBI's taxonomy places the organism in Eukaryota, Metazoa, Chordata, Actinopteri, Osmeriformes, Osmeridae. The record is from RefSeq and is a predicted model, not a curated record. The transcript has 3 exons.